RNAcentral lists this RNase P RNA (348 nucleotides) under Oscillospiraceae bacterium. RNAcentral describes it as "RNase P RNA component class A". It matches the Rfam family "Bacterial RNase P class A". From Rfam's summary of the family: Ribonuclease P (RNase P) is a ubiquitous endoribonuclease, found in archaea, bacteria and eukarya as well as chloroplasts and mitochondria. Its best characterised activity is the generation of mature 5'-ends of tRNAs by cleaving the 5'-leader elements of precursor-tRNAs. Cellular RNase Ps are ribonucleoproteins. The record is from RNAcentral. Lineage: Bacteria; Bacillati; Bacillota; Clostridia; Eubacteriales; Oscillospiraceae.
UGAGUAAGCCGGGCAGCCGCGGGCACAAGCCGAAAGGCUGUGCGUGAGGAAAGUCCGGGCUCCACAGGGCAAGAAUAACGGGUAACGCCCGCCGAAGGCGACUUCAGGAAAAGUGCAACAGAGAUAUACCGCCGUGACCUUGUCACGGUAAGGGUGGAAAGGCAGAGGUAAGAGCCUGCCCGAUGGUUGGAGACAAUCCAUCGCUGUAAACUCUAUUCGGAGCAACACCGUGGGAGAACACAUAGUCUGCCCGACUGUUCUCAGGAGGUGGCUUGACUCCGCCGGCAACGGCGGAGCUAGAUAGAUGGCUGUCUAAGACAGAAUCCGGCUUAUAGACUUGCUCACAUC